Molecule: ribosomal RNA, 551 nt
Filed under: uncultured archaeon
Lineage: Archaea
Description: bacterial SSU rRNA
Rfam family: Archaeal small subunit ribosomal RNA
Source: RNAcentral
ACGGGGUGCAGCAGGCGCGAAAACUUCGCAAUGUGGGAAACCACGACGAGGGAACUCCAAGUGCCUACGCUCAGCGCAGGCUGUUCUUGAGCCUAGAGAGCUUUAGGAGUAAGGGCUGGGUAAGACGGGUGCCAGCCGCCGCGGUAAUACCCGCAGCCCAAGUGGUGGCCGCUAUUAUUGGGCCUAAAGCGUCCGUAGCCGGCCCGGUAAAUGCCUGGUAAAUCGUGGGGCCUAACUCCACGAAUUCCGGGUAGACUGCCGAGCUCGGGCCCGGAAGAAGGAGAGGGUACUCCAGGGGUAGGGGUGAAAUCCUGUAAUCCUUGGAGGACCACCCGUGGCGAAGGCGCUCUCCUAAGACGGGUCCGACGGUGAGGGACGAAAGCCAGGGGAGCAAACCGGAUUAGAUACCCGGGUAGUCCUGGCCGUAAACGAUGUGGACUUGGUAUUCGAGUGGCCAUGAGCUGUUCGAGUGCCGUAGGGAAGCUGUUAAGUCCACCGCCUGGGGAGUAUGGUCGCAAGGCUGAAACUUAAAGGAAUUGGCGGGGGAGCAC